Molecule: ribosomal RNA, 420 nt
Filed under: uncultured bacterium
Lineage: Bacteria
Description: bacterial SSU rRNA
Rfam family: Bacterial small subunit ribosomal RNA
Source: RNAcentral
UAAGGAAUAUUGCGCAAUGGACGAAAGUCUGACGCAGCAACGCCGCGUGCAGGAUGAAGGCCCUUUGGGUUGUAAACUGCUGUAGCAGGGGAAUAAGUUCUCCCUCGGGGAGAGUGAAGGUACCCUGAAAGUAAGCGCCGGCUAACUACGUGCCAGCAGCCGCGGUAAUACGUAGGGCGCAAGCGUUGUCCGGAUUCACUGGGUGUAAAGGGUGCGCAGGCGGGAAAGUAAGUUAGAGGUGAAAUCUCACAGCUCAACUGUGAAACGGCCUUUGAUACUGCUUUUCUUGAGUUAGGGAGAGGUUGAUGGAAUUCCAGGUGUAGCGGUGAAAUGCGUAGAUAUCUGGAAGAACACCGGUGGCGAAGGCGGUCAACUGGCCCUAAACUGACGCUCAGGCACGAAAGCGUGGGGAUCAAACAG